RNAcentral lists this ribosomal RNA (503 nucleotides) under uncultured bacterium. RNAcentral's name for it is "bacterial SSU rRNA". It matches the Rfam family "Bacterial small subunit ribosomal RNA", at positions 24 to 518 of the family's 1533-position model. The record is from RNAcentral.
UCAGGAUGAACGCUAGCUACAGGCUUAACACAUGCAAGUCAGGGGCAUCAUGGAGUUGCUUGCAAACUCUGAUGGCGACCGGCGCACGGGUGAGUAACGCGUAUCCAACCUUCCCUAUAGUAGAGGAUAGCCCGGCGAAAGUCGGAUUAAUACUCUAUGUUUUCCGUUGCAGACAUCUAAGAUGGAACAAAGGCUUGCCGCUAUAGGAUGGGGAUGCGUCUGAUUAGGUAGUCGGCGGGGUAACGGCCCACCGAGCCAUCGAUCAGUAGGGGUUCUGAGAGGAAGGUCCCCCACAUUGGAACUGAGACACGGUCCAAACUCCUACGGGAGGCAGCAGUGAGGAAUAUUGGUCAAUGGGCGAGAGCCUGAACCAGCCAAGUAGCGUGCAGGACGACGGCCCUAUGGGUUGUAAACUGCUUUUAUGCGGGGAUAAAGUUCACUACGUGUAGUGUUUUGUAGGUACCGCAUGAAUAAGGACCGGCUAAUUCCGUGCCAGCAGCGGC